Molecule: ribosomal RNA, 253 nt
Filed under: uncultured bacterium
Lineage: Bacteria
Description: partial 16S ribosomal RNA
Rfam family: Bacterial small subunit ribosomal RNA
Source: RNAcentral
UACAGAGGGUGCGAGCGUUGUCCGGAAUCACUGGGCGUAAAGAGUGCGUAGGCGGUCCUGUAAGUUUGGUGUGAAAUCUCCCGGCUCAACUGGGAGGGUGCGCCGAAGACUGCAGGGCUUGAGUAUGGGAGAGGUAAGCGGAAUUCCUGGUGUAGCGGUGAAAUGCGUAGAUAUCAGGAGGAACACCUGUGGUGUAGACAGCUUACUGGACCAUAACUGACGCUGAGGCACGAAAGCGUGGGUAGCAAACAGG